This 507-nucleotide ribosomal RNA is filed under the name uncultured bacterium. Its description in RNAcentral is "bacterial SSU rRNA". It matches the Rfam family "Bacterial small subunit ribosomal RNA", at positions 1 to 507 of the family's 1533-position model. The record is from RNAcentral.
AUCGACGAGUUUGAUCCUGGCUCAGAUUGAACGUUGGCGGUAGGCCUAACACAUGCAAGUCGAACGCGAAAGUCCUUCGGGAUGAGUAGAGUGGCGGACGGGUGAGUAACGCGUAGGAAUCUGUCCUGUAGUGGGGGAUAACGUUUCGAAAGGAACGCUAAUACCGCAUACGCCCUACGGGGGAAAGCGGGGGACCUUCGGACCUCGUGCUAUAGGAGGAGCCUGCGUCGGAUUAGCUAGUUGGUGAGGUAAAGGCUCACCAAGGCGACGAUCCGUAGCUGGUCUGAGAGGAUGAUCAGCCACACUGGGACUGAGACACGGCCCAGACUCCUACGGGAGGCAGCAGUGGGGAAUAUUGCACAAUGGGCGAAAGCCUGAUGCAGCAAUGCCGCGUGUGUGAAGAAGGCCUGCGGGUUGUAAAGCACUUUCAGUAGGGAGGAAACAGUAGCCGGUUAAUAUCCGGUUGCCUUGACGUUACCUACAGAAGAAGCACCGGCUAACUCUGUG